RNAcentral lists this RNase P RNA (394 nucleotides) under Alphaproteobacteria bacterium 43-37. RNAcentral describes it as "RNase P RNA component class A". It matches the Rfam family "Bacterial RNase P class A". From Rfam's summary of the family: Ribonuclease P (RNase P) is a ubiquitous endoribonuclease, found in archaea, bacteria and eukarya as well as chloroplasts and mitochondria. Its best characterised activity is the generation of mature 5'-ends of tRNAs by cleaving the 5'-leader elements of precursor-tRNAs. Lineage: Bacteria; Pseudomonadati; Pseudomonadota; Alphaproteobacteria. RNAcentral also lists the same sequence under 1 other name. The record is from RNAcentral.
UGAGAGGGUCGGGCAGUUGCUACAGGAAUUGCAUUGAGCAGACUUAAGCUCCUGUAGAGGAAAGUCCGGGCUCCAGAGAGACAAGGUGCCGGGUAACGCCCGGCGAGGGUGACCUUAGGGAAAGUGCAACAGAAAAUAUACCGCUUGGGCUCGUCUCAAGUAAGGGUGAAAUGGUGCGGUAAGAGCGCACCGCACUGGCGGUAACGUUAGUGGCAGUGUAAACCCCACCUGGUGCAAGAUCAAAUAGGCGUAUGGCGCUGCAACCAGCAGCAGGCAAGUCUCUCAGCCACAUACGCGGGUAGAUCGCUAAAGGUCCAUAGCAAUAUGUACCUCAGAUGAAUAGCUGCCGGCCUGAAAAUGGCCACAGAACCCGGCUUACAGAUCCUCUCAGUUA